GAGGAACAGAUAAGGGCGGAGGGACACCAGAGCUCACUGUUUAUCGACGCCUGCUUGACACACACAAGCAACAGUGAUUUUAAAUGUCGUUAAAUUGUUACUGCUGCUACUGUAUAUUCACCAGACCCAUAUUUCUUCUGUCAGAUAAAGAAGGUACAGGACAGGAUUCCGGUUUCUCUAAGUUUACCUGUGCUGCGGUAAAUGGGUGGGUCUGUUUUCUACUUGGGAACAUUGGCGCCUUCAGCUCUCUUUACUCAUCUGUAUAAACCUGGAUAUAUAUAUAAUUGCAUUCCAGUUUUAGUUUUGACUGUUUUCCAACUUUGACGUCAAAAGUUUCAGCAUGUCUGUACCUGCCAUGAGUUCUCUGGAUAAAGAUGGUGGCAUGUCUCGACAACCGGAUGCAUGUGCUGAUGUCACAUGUCAGUUUGGCAGAUGUGUGUUAGUGCAUGAAGAGCCUGCAUGUGAGUGUAUGCUGGGAUAUACUGGGGAAACCUGUCAGGAAACAAUCAAUGAGGCUCUGGCUGUCCCGCUCACCCUUGGUGUCCUGACUGUCAUCGUUGUCUGCAUUGUGCUGUUUUUUGCUGUUGCAAUUUUCCGUCAAAAGAAAAAAGCAAAAAAGAGAAAGAAGGCGGCUGAAGAAGCCUUAAGAAAUGGAGAGCAUCUUUAAAAUGUCUUAAUGCAACAUGUCAGUGAAAAGUACAGUCAACACAUCACUUACACGUCACAUGAAAGAACAUUCCAGCAUGACAUUUAGUUUUCUAUUCAUUGCGCAUGAAUUCAAGCUGUGAUGUUGUUAGAAGAAUAGGAGUGUCACUGAAUGUACUCCAUGUUUAAACAAACUAUUUUAAAGGGCACCUAUUUUACCCCUUCAAGAUUUACGAUAAGUCUUUUGUGUUCUCAGAAUGUGUCUAUAAAGUUUCUGCUCAAAAUACUCAUCAUAUUAUUUAUUAUACCUUUCUGAACAUGGAAAUUUUCAGCUCUAAACACACGGUGGCUGUUUUUGUUGUAUGUGCCUUCAAUGCAAGUGAGCUGCUCUCCCUGCCCACCAUUCCCACGUGCGUGUCAGAGCCACAAAGAUUUCUCUGUAUUGCUCUGAUACAUGUAGCCUUUACAUAGAUAAACGGCACAGAGACGGACAAGAAUGAAGCAGAUCUCCCUUACUACAGUAAGAACUUUCCAGAUGGAAAUUUGAUGCAGUUGUUGUGGAGUUAAUUCAAGCCUUUUUGCAAUGAGUCACACACAAUGUUGUUACAAAGUUUGCGUCACACACAAACACACAUGCGCAUGUGACAGGAUCCAUAUUAAUAUCCACUGCUGCAUAUUCGUUAUGUUAAUGUACAAAAUAAAUCUGAUUUAAGUCCUCUUA
This is a long non-coding RNA of Danio aesculapii, 1366 nucleotides long. RefSeq lists it as uncharacterized. NCBI's taxonomy places the organism in Eukaryota, Metazoa, Chordata, Actinopteri, Cypriniformes, Danionidae. The transcript is spliced from 4 exons. The record is from RefSeq and is a predicted model, not a curated record.